Long non-coding RNA from Mangifera indica (mango), 766 nucleotides. RefSeq lists it as uncharacterized. NCBI's taxonomy places the organism in Eukaryota, Viridiplantae, Streptophyta, Magnoliopsida, Sapindales, Anacardiaceae. The transcript is spliced from 2 exons. The record is from RefSeq and is a predicted model, not a curated record.
GUGACUCACUACGCUUUCGCCUCUUUCGAAACUCUUCGCUGUCGCCCCAUCCCCCUCCCUCCAAACCUUCUCCUUUUCCGACCCAUCUUCUCCCACUCUUUCCCCUUCCCACUCCCUCUGGACCCCACCUUUUGGAAUCUCCUCUCUCGCCUCCUCCAGCCAGUCCCCAAUCCUAGUUGCGGCGACUCUAUCUGGCUCCCUCCACCUGCUCUCUACCGGCCCCUUGGGGCUCGAGUUGCUGCACGCGGUGGACGGUAAGGGGUUUCACGAGGGAUCCAUGUGGGGAAGACGGAGGGUCUUUGAUGGGGAGGGUUUGGUGGGGUUUAACGCCGUUAAAUGGGCGUCUCCGAGCUGGAGGCUCAUCAGGUACAAUAUUUGCCUGGGAUCUACGAUGGCAGUAACAACCGCUUGUUCUUUCUUGUGUUGGGACUGGAGUGGCUGCUGUCCCUUUAAUAUCUGAAAGUGAGGCUUGGGAGGUUCAGUAUGAUUGCUAUACGAAAUCCUCAAGCAUUUCAUCUGCACAAAUAUUACCUGCCAUGUUCUGCCGAGAGGAUGGUCUCCUUGCUGUGAUUGAACAAGGUAUAAUGUCCGUGAUCCAGCCAUUGCUUACUAUCCGUGUCACUUCUGGCAACAACAAGCUCACUUAGACAAGUCAAAAUCUUCGUUAUCCCUUUGCUUAUUGGAUAACUAUUUCUUUAAAUACAUUUUGACUGAUUAUAUAUAAAUGUCUAACUGUAUAGGUGAAGAAUCCACCAAGCUUAUGGCC